UAGCAUAUCAAUAAGCGGAGGAAAAGAAACCAACAGGGAUUGCCCCAGUAACGGCGAGUGAAGCGGCAACAGCUCAAAUUUGAAAUCUGGCCCUCGGGUCCGAGUUGUAAUUUGUAGAGGAUGCUUUUGGCGAGGUGCCUUCCGAGUUCCCUGGAACGGGACGCCAUAGAGGGUGAGAGCCCCGUCUGGUCGGACACCGAGCCUCUGUAAAGCUCCUUCGACGAGUCGAGUAGUUUGGGAAUGCUGCUCAAAAUGGGAGGUAUAUGUCUUCUAAAGCUAAAUAUUGGCCAGAGACCGAUAGCGCACAAGUAGAGUGAUCGAAAGAUGAAAAGCACUUUGAAAAGAGGGUUAAAAAGUACGUGAAAUUGUUGAAAGGGAAGCGCCUAUGACCAGACUUGAGCCCGGUGAAUCAUCCAGCGUUCUCGCUGGUGCACUUUGCCGGGCCCAGGCCAGCAUCAGUUUGGCGCGGGGGAUAAAGGUGACGGGAAUGUGGCUCCCUCGGGAGUGUUAUAGCCCGCUACGUAAUACCCUGCGCCGGACUGAGGUACGCGCAUUGCAAGGAUGCUGGCGUAAUGGUCAUCAGCGACCCGUCUUGAAACACGGACCAAGGAGUCGUCUUCGUAUGCGAGUGUUCGGGUGUCAAACCCCUACGCGUAAUGAAAGUGAACGCAGGUGAGAGCUUCGGCGCAUCAUCGACCGAUCCUGAUGUUCUCGGAUGGAUUUGAGUAAGAGCAUACGGGGCCGGACCCGAAAGAAGGUGAACUAUGCCUGUAUAGGGUGAAGCCAGAGGAAACUCUGGUGGAGGCUCGCAGCGGUUCUGACGUGCGAAUCGAUCGUCAAAUAUGGGCAUGGGGGCGAAAGACUAAUCGAACCUUCUAGUAGCUGGUUUC
Molecule: ribosomal RNA, 890 nt
Filed under: Cordyceps javanica
Lineage: Eukaryota; Fungi; Ascomycota; Sordariomycetes; Hypocreales; Cordycipitaceae
Description: partial large subunit ribosomal RNA
Rfam family: Eukaryotic large subunit ribosomal RNA
Source: RNAcentral